Molecule: ribosomal RNA, 503 nt
Filed under: uncultured bacterium
Lineage: Bacteria
Description: partial 16S ribosomal RNA
Rfam family: Bacterial small subunit ribosomal RNA
Source: RNAcentral
AUUGAACGCUGGCGGCAGUCUUAACACAUGCAAGUCGAGCGGGGUGAUGGUGCUUGCACUAUCACUUAGCGGCGGACGGGUGAGUAAUGCUUAGGAAUCUGCCUAUUAGUGGGGGACAACAUCUCGAAAGGGAUGCUAAUACCGCAUACGUCCUACGGGAGAAAGCAGGGGAUCACUUGUGACCUUGCGCUAAUAGAUGAGCCUAAGUCGGAUUAGCUAGUUGGUGGGGUAAAGGCCUACCAAGGCGACGAUCUGUAGCGGGUCUGAGAGGAUGAGCCGCCACACUGGGACUGAGACACGGCCCAGACUCCGACGGGAGGCAGCAGUGGGGAAUAUUGGACAAUGGUGGGAACCCUGAUCCAGCCAUGCCGCGUGUGUGAAGAAGGCCUUAUGGUUGUAAAGCACUUUAAGCGAGGAGGAGGCUCUUUUGGUUAAUACCCAAGAUGAGUGGACGUUACUCGCAGAAUAAGCACCGGCUAACUCUGUGCCAGCCGCCGCAGUAA